UCUCCAGGCCUGAAAUGAUCUCUUAAGU
RNAcentral lists this non-coding RNA (28 nucleotides) under Mus musculus (house mouse). The record is from RNAcentral. Lineage: Eukaryota; Metazoa; Chordata; Mammalia; Rodentia; Muridae.